This 430-nucleotide ribosomal RNA is filed under the name Desmazierella acicola. RNAcentral describes it as "SSU rRNA". It matches the Rfam family "Eukaryotic small subunit ribosomal RNA", at positions 803 to 1231 of the family's 1831-position model. Lineage: Eukaryota; Fungi; Ascomycota; Pezizomycetes; Pezizales; Sarcoscyphaceae. The record is from RNAcentral.
AUUAGCAUGGAAUAAUAGAAUAGGACGUGCGGUUCUAUUUUGUUGGUUUCUAGGACCGCCGUAAUGAUUAAUAGGGAUAGUCGGGGGCAUCCGUAUUCAAUUGUCAGAGGUGAAAUUCUUGGAUUUAUUGAAGACGAACUACUGCGAAAGCAUUUGCCAAGGAUGUUUUCAUUAAUCAGGAACGAAAGUUGAGGGAUCGAAGACGAUCAGAUACCGUCGUAGUCUCAACCAUAAACUAUGCCGACUAGGGAUCGGGCGAUGUUCUUUUUUUGACUCGCUCGGAACCUUACGAGAAAUCAAAGUCUUUGGGUUCUGGGGGGAGUAUGGCCGCAAGGCUGAAACUUACAGGAAUUGACGGAAGGGCACCACCAGGAGUGGAGCCUGCGGCUUAAUUUGACUCAACACGGGGAAACUCACCAGGUCCAGAAAU